RNAcentral lists this ribosomal RNA (459 nucleotides) under uncultured bacterium. RNAcentral's name for it is "bacterial SSU rRNA". It matches the Rfam family "Bacterial small subunit ribosomal RNA", at positions 29 to 507 of the family's 1533-position model. The record is from RNAcentral.
AACGAACGCUGGCGGCAGGCCUAACACAUGCAAGUCGAACGCCCUAGCAAUAGGGAGUGGCAGACGGGUGAGUAACACGUGGGAACCUUCCCUAUAGUACGGAAUAGCCCAGGGAAACUUGGAGUAAUACCGUAUACGCCCGAGAGGGGAAAGAUUUAUCGCUAUAGGAUGGGCCCGCGUUGGAUUAGCUAGUUGGUGAGGUAACGGCUCACCAAGGCGACGAUCCAUAGCUGGUCUGAGAGGACGACCAGCCACACUGGGACUGAGACACGGCCCAGACUCCUACGGGAGGCAGCAGUGGGGAAUAUUGCGCAAUGGCCGAAAGGCUGACGCAGCGACGCCGCGUGGGGGAGGAAGGUCUUCGGGUUGUAAACCGCUUUAGUCCGGGAAAAAGGGCUGACGUGCUAAUACCGCGUUGGUUUGAUGGUACUGGAAGAAUAAGCACCGGCUAACUACGUG